GCAAUCAAGCUAGAUUUCCCAGUUCCUGGAGGUCCAUAUAAAAGAUACCCUCUUUUCCAAGCCUUACCAACUUUUUUAUAAAAAUCUCUCCUUUUCACAAAUCUAUCAAGAUCUUCAAUUAUCAUCUUUUUCAUAUCAGGUUCCAUAGCCAAAGUAUCAAAAGCCAACUUUUUUAUAAAACUCUCUCCUUUUCACAAAUCUAUCAAGAUCUUCAAUUAUCAUCUUUUUCAUAUCAGGUUCCAUAGCCAAAGUAUCAAAAGUAGCAGGAUGGUCCAAGUUUAUUGAACCCCAAUCCCCACCCCCACCUCCAUACCCAUCAUCAUCACUACCACAAGGACAAUCCCUUGUAUACAAUUUCACAGCCCUAUCAUUAUCU
RNAcentral lists this long non-coding RNA (376 nucleotides) under Nicotiana benthamiana. Its description in RNAcentral is "long non-coding RNA (NBEN_LNC039179)". Lineage: Eukaryota; Viridiplantae; Streptophyta; Magnoliopsida; Solanales; Solanaceae. The record is from RNAcentral.